This 31-nucleotide non-coding RNA is filed under the name Mus musculus (house mouse). Lineage: Eukaryota; Metazoa; Chordata; Mammalia; Rodentia; Muridae. The record is from RNAcentral.
UGACUUUUCGUUUAGCUGCCUGAUAAGCCCC